Long non-coding RNA from Amblyraja radiata (thorny skate), 114 nucleotides. RefSeq lists it as uncharacterized. The transcript has 3 exons. NCBI's taxonomy places the organism in Eukaryota, Metazoa, Chordata, Chondrichthyes, Rajiformes, Rajidae. The record is from RefSeq and is a predicted model, not a curated record.
UAAUUGGCUUGGUAUAAAUGUAAAAUUGUCCUUAAUGUGUGCAGGGUAGCAUUAGUGUACGGGUAUCGCUGCUCGGCACGGACGCAGUGGGCCGAAAGGCCUGCUUCUGUGUCG